GCGAACGGACGAGAAGCUUGCUUCUCUGAUGUUAGCGGCGGACGGGUGAGUAACACGUGGAUAACCUACCUAUAAGACUGGGAUAACUUCGGGAAACCGGAGCUAAUACCGGAUAAUAUUUUGAACCGCAUGGUUCAAAAGUGAAAGACGGUCUUGCUGUCACUUAUAGAUGGAUCCGCGCUGCAUUAGCUAGUUGGUAAGGUAACGGCUUACCAAGGCAACGAUGCAUAGCCGACCUGAGAGGGUGAUCGGCCACACUGGAACUGAGACACGGUCCAGACUCCUACGGGAGGCAGCAGUAGGGAAUCUUCCGCAAUGGGCGAAAGCCUGACGGAGCAACGCCGCGUGAGUGAUGAAGGUCUUCGGAUCGUAAAACUCUGUUAUUAGGGAAGAACAUAUGUGUAAGUAACUGUGCACAUCUUGACGGUACCUAAUCAGAAAGCCACGGCUAACUACGUGCCAGCAGCCGCGGUAAUACGUAGGUGGCAAGCGUUAUCCGGAAUUAUUGGGCGUAAAGCGCGCGUAGGCGGUUUUUUAAGUCUGAUGUGAAAGCCCACGGCUCAACCGUGGAGGGUCAUUGGAAACUGGAAAACUUGAGUGCAGAAGAGGAAAGUGGAAUUCCAUGUGUAGCGGUGAAAUGCGCAGAGAUAUGGAGGAACACCAGUGGCGAAGGCGACUUUCUGGUCUGUAACUGACGCUGAUGUGCGAAAGCGUGGGGAUCAAACAGGAUUAGAUACCCUGGUAGUCCACGCCGUAAACGAUGAGUGCUAAGUGUUAGGGGGUUUCCGCCCCUUAGUGCUGCAGCUAACGCAUUAAGCACUCCGCCUGGGGAGUACGACCGCAAGGUGAAACUCAAAGGAAUUGACGGG
RNAcentral lists this ribosomal RNA (869 nucleotides) under uncultured bacterium. Its description in RNAcentral is "bacterial SSU rRNA". It matches the Rfam family "Bacterial small subunit ribosomal RNA", at positions 66 to 917 of the family's 1533-position model. The record is from RNAcentral.